Molecule: ribosomal RNA, 1971 nt
Filed under: human gut metagenome
Description: bacterial LSU rRNA
Rfam family: Bacterial large subunit ribosomal RNA
Source: RNAcentral
GUGACCGAUAGCGUAUAGUACCGUGAGGGAAAGGUGAAAAGAACCCCGGGAGGGGAGUGAAAGAGAACCUGAAACCCUAUGUUUACAAGCAGAGGGAGCGAAAGCGACCUCGUACUUUUUGUAGAACGGGCCGGCGAGUUACUGUGUGCAGCGAGGUUAAGGCGUAGAGCGCCGGAGCCGAAGCGAGAGCGAGUCUGAAGAGGGCGAAAGUUGUGCGCAGUAGACCCGAAACCGGGUGACCUAUCCAUGGACAGGAUGAAGCGGCGGUAAGACGCCGUGGAGGUCCGAACCACACGUAUGUUGAAAAAUGCGGGGAUGAGCUGUGGAUAGCGGAGAAAUUCCAAUCGAACUCGGAGAUAGCUGGUUCUCCCCGAAAUAGCUUUAGGGCUAGCCUCGAUUUAGAUUACCGGGGGUAGAGCACUGAAUGGGCUAGGGGGCCACAAAGCUUACCGAACCCUAUCAAACUUCGAAUACCGGAUAAUUGAUGAACGGGAGUCAGACGGCGGGAGAUAAGUUUCGUCGUCAAAAGGGAAACAGCCCAGAUCUACGACUAAGGUCCCGAAAUCACAGUUAAGUGGAAAAGGAUGUGCAGUUGCACAGACAACCAGGAUGUUGGCUUAGAAGCAGCCACUCAUUUAAAGAGUGCGUAAUAGCUCACUGGUCGAGUGAUUGUGCGCCGAAAAUGUACCGGGGCUAAACUGUGUACCGAAGUCUAGGGAUCGUGAUAAACGAUCGGUAGGGGAGCAACGUGUGCGGGCUGAAGCCGAAGCGGAAGCGACGGUGGACUGCACGGGAGAGAGAAUGCCGGCAUGAGUAGCGAGAGCAAAGUGAGAAUCUUUGCCGUCGAAAGCCUAAGGUUUCCUGAGGAAGGCUCGUCCUCUCAGGGUAAGUCGGGACCUAAGCCGAGGACAAUAGUCGUAGGCGAUGGACAAUCGGUUAAUAUUCCGAUACCGCCGAGCAACCGGAUGCAGUGACACAGAAGGAUAGGCAGAGCGUGGCGAUGGUAGACCACGUCCAAGCAGUGAGGCUGUUGUGUAGUGAAGUACGCACAACGGAAGGCUGGGCUGUGAUGGGGAACGAUUACGAUCGGUAAGCUGCUGAAUUCACGCUGGCGAGAAAAGCUGCUACGAAGCGAAGGCGCCCGUACCGCAAACCGACACAGGUAGGCGAGGAGAGAAUCCUAAGACGAGCGGGAGAACCCUUGUUAAGGAACUCGGCAAAAUGACUCCGUAACUUAGGGAGAAGGAGUGCCCAGGAAUGGGCCGCAGAGAAUAGACCCAAGCGACUGUUUACCAAAAACACAGGUCUGUGCGAAGUAGAGAUACGACGUAUACGGGCUGACACCUGCCCAGUGCCGGAAGGUUAAGGGGAAAUGUUAGGGCAACCGAAGCAUGGAACUUAAGCCCCGGUGAACGGCGGCCGUAACUAUAACGGUCCUAAGGUAGCGAAAUUCCUUGUCGGGUAAGUUCCGACCCGCACGAAUGGCGUAACGACUUGGGCACUGUCUCAACAAGGGACCCGGCGAAAUUGUAGUAUGUGUGAAGAUGCACAUUACCCGCGAUAGGACGGAAAGACCCCGUAGAGCUUUACUGUAGUUUAACAUUGGAUUUCGGUAACAUAUGUACAGGAUAGGUGGGAGGCGAAGAACCAGGGACGCCAGUUUCUGGGGAGCCGACCUUGGGAUACCACUCUUGUGUUAUUGGAGUUCUAACGAAUUGCCGUGAACCGGGAUUCGGACAGUGUUAGAUGGGCAGUUUGACUGGGGCGGUCGCCUCCCAAAGAGUAACGGAGGCGUCCAAAGGUUCCCUCAGAAUGGUUGGAAACCAUUCGCAGAGUGUAAAGGCAGAAGGGAGCUUGACUGCGAGACCGACAGGUCGAGCAGGUGCGAAAGCAGGGCUUAGUGAUCCGGCGGUAUGAGAGUGGAAUUGCCGUCGCUCAACGGAUAAAAGCUACCUCGGGGAUAACAGGCUU